GGUUAAGCGACUAAGCGUACACGGUGGAUGCCCUGGCAGUCAGAGGCGAUGAAGGACGUGCUAAUCUGCGAUAAGCGUCGGUAAGGUGAUAUGAACCGUUAUAACCGGCGAUUUCCGAAUGGGGAAACCCAGUGUGAUUCGUCACACUAUCAUUAACUGAAUCCAUAGGUUAAUGAGGCGAACCGGGGGAACUGAAACAUCUAAGUACCCCGAGGAAAAGAAAUCAACCGAGAUUCCCCCAGUAGCGGCGAGCGAACGGGGAGCAGCCCAGAGCCUGAAUCAGUGUGUGUGUUAGUGGAAGCGUCUGGAAAGGCGUGCGAUACAGGGUGACAGCCCCGUACACAAAAAUGCACAUGCUGUGAGCUCGAUGAGUAGGGCGGGACACGUGGUAUCCUGUCUGAAUAUGGGGGGACCAUCCUCCAAGGCUAAAUACUCCUGACUGACCGAUAGUGAACCAGUACCGUGAGGGAAAGGCGAAAAGAACCCCGGCGAGGGGAGUGAAAAAGAACCUGAAACCGUGUACGUACAAGCAGUGGGAGCCUCUUUA
This 547-nucleotide ribosomal RNA is filed under the name Escherichia marmotae. RNAcentral describes it as "partial 23S ribosomal RNA". It matches the Rfam family "Bacterial large subunit ribosomal RNA", at positions 1 to 587 of the family's 2925-position model. The record is from RNAcentral. Lineage: Bacteria; Pseudomonadati; Pseudomonadota; Gammaproteobacteria; Enterobacterales; Enterobacteriaceae.